Long non-coding RNA from Epinephelus fuscoguttatus (brown-marbled grouper), 190 nucleotides. RefSeq lists it as uncharacterized. The record is from RefSeq and is a predicted model, not a curated record. The transcript is spliced from 4 exons. NCBI's taxonomy places the organism in Eukaryota, Metazoa, Chordata, Actinopteri, Perciformes, Serranidae.
CUCCAGCCCUCCAUCCCUCCUCCUGGGUGACAUUUCAGACGGGGCCCUGAGGGCAUUCGGAGGGGAGGCAUCGAACAAGAGGGUGGCAAGCUCCAGGAAUGAAGCAUGCGGUUCCACCUGGACAGAAGUUUAGACGGUGGGGUAUUGCGGGAGGUGAUCAUGGCUCAUGGUGAGCAGGUGUCCGAGGGUG